This 407-nucleotide ribosomal RNA is filed under the name uncultured bacterium. Its description in RNAcentral is "partial 16S ribosomal RNA". It matches the Rfam family "Bacterial small subunit ribosomal RNA", at positions 28 to 526 of the family's 1533-position model. The record is from RNAcentral.
GACGAACGCUGGCGGCGUGCCUAAUACAUGCAAGUAGAACGCAGUUGCGAACGGGUGGGUGACUCGUAGGUAACUGCCUGGUAGCGGGGGGUAACUAUUGGAAACGAUAGCUAAUACCGCAUACUACCAGAUGGACCUGCGUUGUAUUAGCUAGUUGGUGGGGUACCGGCCCACCAAGGCAACGAUACAUAGCCGACCUGGGAGGGUGAUCGGCCACACUGGGACCUAGACACGGCCCAGACUCCUACGGGAGGCAGCAGUAGGGAAUUGUAGGCAAUGGACGGAAGUCUGACCGAGCAACGCCGCGGGAGUGAAGAAGGGCUUCGGAGCGUAAAGCUCUGUUGUAAGAGAAGCGGUAUCUAACCAGAAAGCCACGGCUAACUACGUGCCAGCAGCCGCGGUAAUAC